GUGAGGAAUUUUCCGCAAUGGGCGAAAGCCUGACGGAGCAAUGCCGCGUGAAGGAUGAAGGCCUAUGGGUUGUAAACUUCUUUUCUCAGAAAAGAAUUAUGACGGUAUCUGAGGAAUAAGCAUCGGCUAACUCUGUGCCAGCAGCCGCGGUAAGACAGAGGAUGCAAGCGUUAUCCGGAAUGACUGGGCGUAAAGCGUCUGUAGGUUGUUUAAAAAGUAUUCUGUCAAAGAUUAGGGCUUAACCCUAGAUAGGCAGAAUAAACUUUUAAGCUAGAGGUUGGUAGAGGCAGAGGGAAUUCCCGGUGGAGCGGUGAAAUGCGUAGAUAUCGGGAGGAACACCAAAGGCGAAGGCACUCUGCUGGGCCAAUACUAACACUGAGAGACGAAAGCGAGGGGAGCAAAUGGGAUUAGAAACCCUAGUAGUCC
Molecule: ribosomal RNA, 426 nt
Filed under: uncultured bacterium
Lineage: Bacteria
Description: partial 16S ribosomal RNA
Rfam family: Bacterial small subunit ribosomal RNA
Source: RNAcentral